GCGCGGGUGCGGCAGCGGGGGCGGCCGGGGCGUUGCUGCCGCCCAGGGUGGCGAUCACGCCGCCGACCUUCACG
RNAcentral lists this transfer RNA (74 nucleotides) under Deinococcus knuensis. RNAcentral's name for it is "tRNA-Ser". Lineage: Bacteria; Thermotogati; Deinococcota; Deinococci; Deinococcales; Deinococcaceae. The record is from RNAcentral.